UGACCAUGGCUCAAGAUGAACGCUAGCUACAGGCUUAACACAUGCAAGUCGCGGGGCAGCAUGGGGGUUGCUUGCAACCCCUGAUGGCGACCGGCGCACGGGUGAGUAACGCGUAUCCAACCUGCCCUUCACCACGGGAUAACCCGGCGAAAGUCGGACUAAUACCGUAUGUUGUCCAUUGACGGCAUCCGAUUUGGACGAAAGGCUUUGCGGUGAGGGAUGGGGAUGCGUCCGAUUAGCUUGACGGCGGGGUAACGGCCCACCGUGGCAACGAUCGGUAGGGGUUCUGAGAGGAAGGUCCCCCACACUGGAACUGAGACACGGUCCAGACUCCUACGGGAGGCAGCAGUGAGGAAUAUUGGUCAAUGGGCGAAAGCCUGAACCAGCCAAGUAGCGUGCAGGAUGACGGCCCUAUGGGUUGUAAACUGCUUUUAUGCGGGGAUAAAGGAGCCCACGUGUGGGCUUUUGCAGGUACCGCAUGAAUAAGGACCGGCUAAUUCCGUGCCAGCAGCCGCGGUAAUACGGAAGGUCCGGGCGUUAUCCGGAUUUAUUGGGUUUAAAGGGAGCGUAGGCCGCCCCUUAAGCGUGUUGUGAAAUGCGGGUGCUCAACAUCCGACUUGCAGCGCGAACUGGGGGGCUUGAGUGCGCCGAAAGUAGGCGGAAUUCGUGGUGUAGCGGUGAAAUGCUUAGAUAUCACGAAGAACUCCGAUUGCGAAGGCAGCUUACUGUAGCGCAACUGACGCUGAUGCUCGAAAGCGUGGGUAUCGAACAGGAUUAGAUACCCUGGUAGUCCACGCGGUAAACGAUGGGUGCUCGUUGUCGGCCUGUGUGGUCGGUGACCAAGCGAAAGCGUUAAGCAUCCCACCUGGGGAGUACGCCGGCAACGGUGAAACUCAAAGGGAUUGACGGGGGCCCGCACAAGCGGAGGAACAUGUGGUUUAAUUCGAUGAUACGCGAGGAACCUUACCAAGGUUUAAAUGGGGACUGACAGGGGUAGAGAUACCUUUUUCUUCGGACAGUUUUCAAGGUGCUGCAUGGUUGUCGUCAGCUCGUGCCGUGAGGUGUCAGGUUAAGUCCUAUAACGAGCGCAACCCCUGCCAUUAGUUGCUAACGAGUUAAGUCGAGCCCUCUAAUGGGACUGCCGGUGCAAACCGAGAGGAAGGUGGGGAUGACGUCAAAUCAUCACGGCCCUUACAUCUUGGGCUACACACGUGCUACAAUGGCCGUUACAGAGAGCAGCCACUGCGUGAGCAGGCGCGAAUCUAUAAAGACGGUCACAGUUCGGAUCGGAGUCUGCAACUCGACUCCGUGAAGCUGGAAUCGCUAGUAAUCGGAUAUCAGCCAUGAUCCGGUGAAUACGUUCCCGGGCCUUGUACACACCGCCCGUC
RNAcentral lists this ribosomal RNA (1388 nucleotides) under uncultured bacterium. RNAcentral describes it as "bacterial SSU rRNA". It matches the Rfam family "Bacterial small subunit ribosomal RNA". The record is from RNAcentral.